RNAcentral lists this ribosomal RNA (1139 nucleotides) under uncultured organism. RNAcentral's name for it is "bacterial SSU rRNA". It matches the Rfam family "Bacterial small subunit ribosomal RNA", at positions 318 to 1470 of the family's 1533-position model. The record is from RNAcentral.
ACUGAGACACGGACCAGACUCCUACGGGAGGCAGCAGUGAGGAAUAUUGGGCAAUGGACGCAAGUCUGACCCAGCCAUGCCGCGUGCAGGAUGACUGCCCUAUGGGUUGUAAACUGCUUUUGUUUGGGAAGAAACCCCCGAUCGUGAUCGGGGCUGACGGUACCAUACGAAUAAGCAUCGGCUAACUCCGUGCCAGCAGCCGCGGUAAUACGGAGGAUGCAAGCGUUAUCCGGAUUCAUUGGGUUUAAAGGGUGCGCAGGCGGAAUAUUAAGUCAGUGGUGAAAUCCUGCAGCUUAACUGUAGAACUGCCAUUGAUACUGAUAUUCUUGAAUAUAGUUGAGGUGGGCGGAAUGUGUAAUGUAGCGGUGAAAUGCUUAGAUAUUACACAGAACACCAAUUGCGAAGGCAGCUCACUAAACUAAUAUUGACGCUGAGGCACGAAAGCGUGGGUAGCAAACAGGAUUAGAUACCCUGGUAGUCCACGCUGUAAACUAUGAUCACUCGCUGUUGGCAAUACAUCGUCAGCGGCUGAGCGAAAGCAUUAAGUGAUCCACCUGGGGAGUACGGUCGCAAGAUUGAAACUCAAAGGAAUUGACGGGGGCCCGCACAAGCGGAGGAACACGUGGUUUAAUUCGAUGAUACGCGAGGAACCUUACCUGGGCUUAAAUGCAGAGCGACGUCCGCCGAAAGGUGGAUUCCUUCGGGCGAUCUGCAAGGUGCUGCAUGGUUGUCGUCAGCUCGUGCCGUGAGGUGUCGGGUUAAGUCCCAUAACGAGCGCAACCCUUAUCGUUAGUUGCCAGCGGGUAAUGCCGGGGACUCUAACGAAACUGCCGGUGUAAACCGUGAGGAAGGUGGGGAUGACGUCAAAUCAGCACGGCCCUUAUGUCCAGGGCUACACACGUGUUACAAUGGUCGGUACAGAGGGCAGCUACCACGCAAGUGGAUGCUAAUCUCGAAAACCGGUCUCAGUUCGGAUUGAAGUCUGCAACUCGACUUCAUGAAGCUGGAUUCGCUAGUAAUCGCGCAUCAGCCAUGGCGCGGUGAAUACGUUCCCGGGCCUUGUACACACCGCCCGUCAAGCCAUGGAAGCUUGGGGUACCUGAAGUCCGUAACCGCAAGGACGGCCUAGGGUAAGACAA